Molecule: small nuclear RNA, 107 nt
Organism: Rhincodon typus (whale shark)
Lineage: Eukaryota; Metazoa; Chordata; Chondrichthyes; Orectolobiformes; Rhincodontidae
Source: RefSeq, a predicted model, not a curated record
GUUUGUUUCAGCAGCACGUAAACAAAAAAAAAAGGAAUGUACAUAGAAAAUUAGCAUGGCUACUGUGCAAGGAUGGUAUAUUGAUUCAUGAAACACCACCUUUUUUU